Non-coding RNA from Acanthosepion pharaonis, 98 nucleotides. Lineage: Eukaryota; Metazoa; Mollusca; Cephalopoda; Sepiida; Sepiidae. The record is from the annotation of a GenBank genome assembly.
GUUAAACCCUGGUUCCCAUACAAUCACCAAAGUUAAGCAACAUCAAGCCUGGUCAGUACCUAGAUGUGUGGCCAUUUUGGAAUACCAUGUGCUGUAAG